RNAcentral lists this long non-coding RNA (553 nucleotides) under Mytilus galloprovincialis (Mediterranean mussel). The record is from RNAcentral. Lineage: Eukaryota; Metazoa; Mollusca; Bivalvia; Mytilida; Mytilidae.
CUCACACCAGCACAUAACAUGUACAAGGAAAAUAACUGAUUUUUCAACUAAAAUCACAAUAAACCUGUUUUUUAAGCUUUAAAUUACACUAGAGGAAAACAUUGCACAUAGGGAUGGUAUAACACAGUUACACUCAAAUAGCUCUCUGCCAUGACCUUAAUUAAAUGAAUGAUGUGAAAUAUCAUAUUUACCACCAACCUUCAUCGGUCAAAACUUUAGCAAUCUUAUACGGUCGCAAAAAUCAAACAUUUCUCCCAGCACAGACUAGUGCUAAUUCAAAUAUCACACCAGCACACAAUCAGUACUGAGAGAAUUUAUUUGAUUCAUUCCUAGAAAUAAAAAAAAUACUUGCAAGUACCAUGAAGCUUGACCAUCUCACAUGGCUAGUGAUGGAUACAGAAAUUAUCAAAUAGGGGGCACACUUUAGUAAUGCUUCAGUGAUUCCCUAUAUAAUCAACCACAAAAGGGGGGACCUAACCCUAACCCCAGGGUUACAUGGAUCCGCCAUUGUUGGCAAUCAUACCACAUUUCCUUAUUUUUAUAUUUGGACACA